UGGCCCCAUACUGGGGGGAAGUUGAAAUGCCCAUUGUGAUCCUUGGAGACUCCACUUACCCUUUAAUGCUGUGGUUCAGGAAACCCUACACAGGGAGCCUUCACAGCAGCAAGGAGAAGUUCAGCAACAGGCUGCGCCGGUGCACAAUGACUGUGGAGUGUGCUUUGGCCGUUUAAAGUGCUGCUGGCGCUCUCUGUAUGGAAGGCUGGAC
This is a long non-coding RNA of Dermochelys coriacea (leatherback sea turtle), 211 nucleotides long. RefSeq lists it as uncharacterized. The record is from RefSeq and is a predicted model, not a curated record. The transcript has 3 exons. NCBI's taxonomy places the organism in Eukaryota, Metazoa, Chordata, Testudines, Dermochelyidae.